GUGCGGCUAAUCAAAAGCUAAAUGGCAGCAAAAGUUAUUGUCCUUCAGAUAAAUUCAGUUCACGUCACUUUUCAGUUGAUGGAUACGAAGACCCAGAAACCCCAGCAAUCACGCCACAAGAACGAGCUCUACCCACAUUCAUACUAGAAGUUUACUCUAUCAGUGACUCCAACCACACUGCGCAUUUUGGGGGUAGCACGGAAAAGCAGAUGGAAUAUUUGAUGGCGUAUUGGAACUCUGUGAGUCAGCGAAUGCAACAACUCACCCCUCCUGUGUACAUAGCGCUUGUUGGCCUUGAAAUUUCUUCAACCGAAGCCGAUGAAGAUUAUCUAGAUGGCUGGCCCGGUGACCAACUCGUCGCCAAUGAAACUCUGAUCUCGUUGCACGAUUAUACUUGGUUAACCCGUGACGUAAGAUCGGCAGACAUCGUUUUCUUGAUCACAGGUCGAGACAUUGUAGACUUAAUUCCAGGAGGUGUAAAAACCACUACUGCAGGU
Molecule: long non-coding RNA, 497 nt
Organism: Rhipicephalus sanguineus (brown dog tick)
Lineage: Eukaryota; Metazoa; Arthropoda; Arachnida; Ixodida; Ixodidae
Exons: 5
Source: RefSeq, a predicted model, not a curated record